Molecule: non-coding RNA, 45 nt
Organism: Schistosoma margrebowiei
Lineage: Eukaryota; Metazoa; Platyhelminthes; Trematoda; Strigeidida; Schistosomatidae
Source: Rfam
AUCUAGCUGACGAGUCCCAAAUAGGACGAAACACGCGUCCUGGAU